RNAcentral lists this ribosomal RNA (481 nucleotides) under uncultured bacterium. Its description in RNAcentral is "partial 16S ribosomal RNA". It matches the Rfam family "Bacterial small subunit ribosomal RNA", at positions 28 to 507 of the family's 1533-position model. The record is from RNAcentral.
GAUGAACGCUGGCGGCGUGCCUAACACAUGCAAGUCGAACGGAGAUUACGGACGGAAGUUUUCGGAUGGAAGCCUGUAAUUCUUAGUGGCGGACGGGUGAGUAACGCGUGGGCAACCUGCCCUAUACAGGGGGAUAGCAGCUGGAAACGGCUGGUAAGACCGCAUAAGUCGGUUAAAUCGCAUGAUUUGAUCGGGAAAUGAGCAAUCAGGUAUAGGAUGGGCCCGCGUCCGAUUAGCCAGUUGGCAGGGUAAAGGCCUACCAAAGCGACGAUCGGUAGCCGGACUGAGAGGUCGGACGGCCACAUUGGGACUGAGACACGGCCCAAACUCCUACGGGAGGCAGCAGUGGGGGAUAUUGCACAAUGGAGGAAACUCUGAUGCAGCGACGCCGCGUGAGUGAAGAAGUAUUUCGGUAUGUAAAGCUCUAUCAGCAGGGAAGAUGAUGACGGUACCUGACUAAGAAGCCCCGGCUAACUACGUG